UACGAAGGGGGCUAGCGUUGCUCGGAAUCACUGGGCGUAAAGCGCACGUAGGCGGACUCUUAUGUCGGUGGUGAAAUCCUGGAGCUCAACUCCAGAACUGCCUUCGAUACUGGGAGUCUCGAGUCCGGGAGAGGUGAGUGGAACUGCGAGUGUAGAGGUGAAAUUCGUAGAUAUUCGCAAGAACACCAGUGGCGAAGGCGGCUCACUGGCCCGGUACUGACGCUGAGGUGCGAAAGCGUGGGGAGCAAACAGG
Molecule: ribosomal RNA, 253 nt
Filed under: uncultured bacterium
Lineage: Bacteria
Description: partial 16S ribosomal RNA
Rfam family: Bacterial small subunit ribosomal RNA
Source: RNAcentral